Molecule: ribosomal RNA, 406 nt
Filed under: uncultured bacterium
Lineage: Bacteria
Description: partial 16S ribosomal RNA
Rfam family: Bacterial small subunit ribosomal RNA
Source: RNAcentral
AUUGAACGCUGGCGGCAGGCCUAACACAUGCAAGUCGAACGAGUGGCGGACGGGUGAGUAAUGUCUGGGAAACUGCCCGAUGGAGGGGGAUAACUACCGGAAACGGUAGCUAAUACCGCCUACCAUCGGAUGUGCCCAGAUGGGAUUAGCUAGUAGGUGGGGUAACGGCUCACCUAGGCGACGAUCCCUAGCUGGUCUGAGAGGAUGACCAGCGACACUGGAACUGAGACACGUUCCAGAUGCCUACGGGAGGCAGCAGUGGGGAAUAUUGCAUAAUGGGCGCAAUCCUGAAGCAGCCAUGCCGCGUGUAUGAAGAAGGCCUUCGGGUUGUAAAGUACUUGCAGCGAGGAGGCGUUACUCGCAAAAGAAGCACCGGCUAACUCCGGGCCAGCAGCCGCGGUAAUAC